Molecule: long non-coding RNA, 1160 nt
Organism: Clupea harengus (Atlantic herring)
Lineage: Eukaryota; Metazoa; Chordata; Actinopteri; Clupeiformes; Clupeidae
Source: Ensembl
GGGAGGGAGGGAGAGAGAGUGAGAGGGAGGGAGGGAGGGAGUGGAGGAAGCAGGGAGUGGGAGAAAAAGGGUGAUGUCACCUCUCCCCAUCAGCCAAUCAGAGCGAGGGAGGGAGAGCGCAAGUAGGAGAGGGUGUGUUUUUGUAUCACUGCAGCAUCAGCGCUAGAGAGCGAGAGAGCACAAUCACUCACACAGAGAGGAGGAGGGAGAAGACCCAGAUUAGAGGGGAAAGCAAGACGCAGAGUUAGCCAAGGAGGGAGUGAAACCUGGGGCCAUCUUUCUUUCUUAAACCUGUGGAGGGAAGAGCCAGCAGGGGGGAGUGGACCUGAGAAGAGAAGAGAGACGACAGAAAAAAAAACAAAAAAAACAAACAGAGCUGAAGAGAAAAGAGAAAGAGAAAAAACAAGAGGUCGGGAAGGAGUGCCAACUGGAGCAGGAAGAGGGGGAUCCCAAACGCCCAGUGAGAGAACGAGAGGAAGCGAGGGAGGGAGGGAGUGAGUGAGCAAACGAGUGGAGAGAGAGAGAGAGAGAGAGAGAGAGAGAGUUCACAGGAGCCUGCUCAUCACUGCAUGCGUGAGUCGGUGUGGGAGCCACCGUGCGUGCGUGCGUGUGUGUGUUUGUGUGUGAGAGUGCGCGCGCGUGAGCGUGCGUUUAAGACUGCGAGAGCAGGUGCAAGUUUGAUGGGACAGUGAGCAAUGCCUACCAGCAUGCCAGGACAGCCGGUUGGCAGCAGGGGGCGCUGCACACCUCUGCUGCUCCCCCUCCUCCACCUCCACCUCCUCCUCCUCCUCCUGGCCCUCACCAGCAGACCUAGCCAGGCUGCCAUCGACAUUCCCCCGAACUACCAAAUACCCGACUGUAAGUAUUCUGCUUUGCUUGUUUGUUUUUGUAUAGUUCUGUCUGAUUCCAUUAUUGCCAGACAAUUCUAUAGCCCCCCGCCUCCCAGCAGAGCCAACAGAUGCAUCUCAGUGAAGAAGUUCCAUGGUGUUUGCAAAUGGAGGUGAAUGUCGGGUCUCCCUUGGCGAGAUACCAACAGGACAAGUGUAGAGUAGCGUGUUUCUGAACGGCAGUAGGAAUGACAAAUCAGAAAGAGAGGCGACUUAAGGAUCAGUGGGACCGCUCCUAUUCCAGUGGCGGAGAAGAGAAGAGAAGAGAAGGGC